RNAcentral lists this ribosomal RNA (508 nucleotides) under uncultured bacterium. Its description in RNAcentral is "partial 16S ribosomal RNA". It matches the Rfam family "Bacterial small subunit ribosomal RNA", at positions 30 to 523 of the family's 1533-position model. The record is from RNAcentral.
AUUGAACGCUGGCGGCAUGCCUAACACAUGCAAGUCGAACGGCAGCACGGUGUGUAGCAAUACACAUGGGUGGCGAGUGGCGGACGGGUGAGUAAUGCUUAGGAAUCUGCCCAAUGGUGGGGGAUAACUAACCGAAAGGUUAGCUAAUACCGCAUACGCCUUUACGGGGAAAGCGGGGGAUCGAAAGACCUCGCGCCGAUGGACGAGCCUAAGUCCGAUUAGCUAGUUGGUAGGGUAAUGGCCUACCAAGGCGACGGUCGGUAGCUGGUCUGAGAGGACGGCCAGCCACACUGGAACUGAGACACGGUCCAGACUCCUACGGGAGGCAGCAGUGGGGAAUAUUGGACAAUGGGGGAAACCCUGAUCCAGCAAUGCCGCGUGUGUGAAGAAGGCCUGCGGGUUGUAAAGCACUUUCGGUUGGGAAGAAAAGUUUGGCGCUAAUACCGCCGAACCUUGACGUUACUGACAGAAGAAGCACCGGCUAACUCUGUGCCAGCCGCCGCAGUAA